Molecule: ribosomal RNA, 467 nt
Filed under: uncultured bacterium
Lineage: Bacteria
Description: partial 16S ribosomal RNA
Rfam family: Bacterial small subunit ribosomal RNA
Source: RNAcentral
GAUGAACGCUGGCGGCGUGCUUAACACAUGCAAGUCGAACGGAAAGGCCCAAGCUUGCUUGGGUACUCGAGUGGCGAACGGGUGAGUAACACGUGGGUGAUCUGCCCUGCACUUCGGGAUAAGCCUGGGAAACUGGGUCUAAUACCGGAUAGGACCACUUCUUGGAUGUUGUGGUGGAAAGUUUUUUCGGUGUGGGAUGAGCUCGCGGCCUAUCAGCUUGUUGGUGGGGUAAUGGCCUACCAAGGCGUCGACGGGUAGCCGGCCUGAGAGGGUGUACGGCCACAUUGGGACUGAGAGACGGCCCAGACGCCUACGGGAGGCAGCAGUGGGGAAUAGUGCACAAUGGGCGCAAGCCUGAUGCAGCGACGCCGCGUGGGGGAUGACGGCCUUCGGGUUGUAAACUCCUUUCGCUAGGGACGAAGCGUUUUGUGACGGUACCUGGAGAAGAAGCACCGGCUAACUACGUG